RNAcentral lists this ribosomal RNA (254 nucleotides) under uncultured bacterium. RNAcentral describes it as "partial 16S ribosomal RNA". It matches the Rfam family "Bacterial small subunit ribosomal RNA", at positions 524 to 776 of the family's 1533-position model. The record is from RNAcentral.
UACGUAGGCAGCGAGCGUUGUUCGGAUUUACUGGGCGUAAAGGGUGUGUAGGCGGUUGUUUAAGUUUGGUGUGAAAUCUCCCGGCUCAACUGGGAGGGUGCGCCGAAUACUGAAUGACUUCGAGUGCGGGAGAGGAGAGUGGAAUUCCUGUUGUAGCGGUGAAAUGCGUAGAUAUGUGGAGGAACACCGAUGGCGAAGGCAGCCUUCUGGGCCAACACUGACGCUCAGGCACGAAAGCGUGGGGAGCAAACAGG